This 563-nucleotide ribosomal RNA is filed under the name Bacillus subtilis. Its description in RNAcentral is "bacterial SSU rRNA". It matches the Rfam family "Bacterial small subunit ribosomal RNA", at positions 250 to 804 of the family's 1533-position model. The record is from RNAcentral. Lineage: Bacteria; Bacillati; Bacillota; Bacilli; Caryophanales; Bacillaceae.
UGGUGAGGUAACGGCUCACCAAGGCAACGAUGCGUAGCCGACCUGAGAGGGUGAUCGGCCACACUGGGACUGAGACACGGCCCAGACUCCUACGGGAGGCAGCAGUAGGGAAUCUUCCGCAAUGGACGAAAGUCUGACGGAGCAACGCCGCGUGAGUGAUGAAGGUUUUCGGAUCGUAAAGCUCUGUUGUUAGGGAAGAACAAGUACCGUUCGAAUAGGGCGGUACCUUGACGGUACCUAACCAGAAAGCCACGGCUAACUACGUGCCAGCAGCCGCGGUAAUACGUAGGUGGCAAGCGUUGUCCGGAAUUAUUGGGCGUAAAGGGCUCGCAGGCGGUUUCUUAAGUCUGAUGUGAAAGCCCCCGGCUCAACCGGGGAGGGUCAUUGGAAACUGGGGAACUUGAGUGCAGAAGAGGAGAGUGGAAUUCCACGUGUAGCGGUGAAAUGCGUAGAGAUGUGGAGGAACACCAGUGGCGAAGGCGACUCUCUGGUCUGUAACUGACGCUGAGGAGCGAAAGCGUGGGGAGCGAACAGGAUUAGAUACCCUGGUAGUCCACGCCGUA